ACCAACAGGGAUUGCCCUAGUAACGGCGAGUGAAGCGGCAACAGCUCAAAUUUGAAAUCUGGCUCUCGGGCCCGAGUUGUAAUUUGUAGAGGAUACUUUUGAUGCGGUGCCUUCCGAGUUUCCUGGAACGGGACGCCAUAGAGGGUGAGAGCCCCGUCUGGUUGGAUGCCAAAUCUCUGUAAAGUUCCUUCAACGAGUCGAGUAGUUUGGGAAUGCUGCUCUAAAUGGGAGGUAUAUGUCUUCUAAAGCUAAAUACCGGCCAGAGACCGAUAGCGCACAAGUAGAGUGAUCGAAAGAUGAAAAGCACUUUGAAAAGAGAGUUAAAAAGUACGUGAAAUUGUUGAAAGGGAAGCGUUUAUGACCAGACUUGGGCUUGGUUAAUCAUCUGGGGUUCUCCCCAGUGCACUUUUCCAGUCCAGGCCAGCAUCAGUUUUCCCCGGGGGAUAAAGGCGGCGGGAAUGUGGCUCUCUUCGGGGAGUGUUAUAGCCCACCGUGUAAUACCCUGGGGGGGACUGAGGUUCGCGCAUCUGCAAGGAUGCUGGCGUAAUGGUCAUCAACGACCCGUCUUGAAACACGGACCAAGGAGUCGUCUUCGUAUGCGAGUGUUCGGGUGUCAAACCCCUACGCGUAAUGAAAGUGAACGCAGGUGAGAGCUUCGGCGCAUCAUCGACCGAUCCUGAUGUUCUCGGAUGGAUUUGAGUAAGAGCAUACGGGGCCGGACCCGAAAGAAGGUGAACUAUGCCUGUAUAGGGUGAAGCCAGAGGAAACUCUGGUGGAGGCUCGCAGCGGUUCUGACGUGCAAAUCGAUCGUCAAAUAUGGGCAUGGGGGCGAAAGACUAAUCGA
This 844-nucleotide ribosomal RNA is filed under the name Fusarium curvatum. Its description in RNAcentral is "partial large subunit ribosomal RNA". It matches the Rfam family "Eukaryotic large subunit ribosomal RNA", at positions 64 to 938 of the family's 3401-position model. The record is from RNAcentral. Lineage: Eukaryota; Fungi; Ascomycota; Sordariomycetes; Hypocreales; Nectriaceae.